UUUCCGUAGGUGAACCUGCGGAAGGAUCAUUAAAGAUUCGAGGCUUCGGCCUUCACCUCUUCAGCUGUGCGCCUCGGCUGCACGCUGUCGAACUACACACACCUGUGCACCUUAUCGGUUUCGGCCUCACGGUCGUCGCCGCUUUACAUCUUACAACGUCAGUCCAGAAUGUUUAAAACUAUAAAAGUAACAACUUUCAACAACGGAUCUCUUGGCUCUC
Molecule: unclassified non-coding RNA, 220 nt
Filed under: soil metagenome
Description: partial contains small subunit ribosomal RNA, internal transcribed spacer 1, and 5.8S ribosomal RNA
Source: RNAcentral